RNAcentral lists this transfer RNA (77 nucleotides) under Desulfovibrio sp. RNAcentral describes it as "tRNA-Met". It matches the Rfam family "tRNA". Rfam says of the family: Transfer RNA (tRNA) molecules are approximately 80 nucleotides in length. Their secondary structure includes four short double-helical elements and three loops (D, anti-codon, and T loops). Further hydrogen bonds mediate the characteristic L-shaped molecular structure. tRNAs have two regions of fundamental functional importance: the anti-codon, which is responsible for specific mRNA codon recognition, and the 3' end, to which the tRNAs corresponding amino acid is attached (by aminoacyl-tRNA synthetases). tRNAs cope with the degeneracy of the genetic code in two manners: having more than one tRNA (with a specific anti-codon) for a particular amino acid; and 'wobble' base-pairing, i.e. permitting non-standard base-pairing at the 3rd anti-codon position. Lineage: Bacteria; Pseudomonadati; Thermodesulfobacteriota; Desulfovibrionia; Desulfovibrionales; Desulfovibrionaceae. The record is from RNAcentral.
CGCGGGGUGGAGCAGUUCGGUAGCUCGUCGGGCUCAUAACCCGAAGGCCACAGGUUCAAAUCCUGUCCCCGCAACCA